Molecule: ribosomal RNA, 492 nt
Filed under: uncultured bacterium
Lineage: Bacteria
Description: partial 16S ribosomal RNA
Rfam family: Bacterial small subunit ribosomal RNA
Source: RNAcentral
AGUGAACGCUGGCGGUAGGCCUAACACAUGCAAGUCGAACGGCAGCACAGUAAGAGCUUGCUCUUACGGGUGGCGAGUGGCGGACGGGUGAGGAAUACAUCGGAAUCUACUUUUUCGUGGGGGAUAACGUAGGGAAACUUACGCUAAUACCGCAUACGACCUACGGGUGAAAGCAGGGGAUCUUCGGACCUUGCGCGAUUGAAUGAGCCGAUGUCGGAUUAGCUAGUUGGCGGGGUAAAGGCCCACCAAGGCGACGAUCCGUAGCUGGUCUGAGAGGAUGAUCAGCCACACUGGAACGGAGACACGGUCCAGACUCCUACGGGAGGCAGCAGUGGGGAGUAUUGGACAAUGGGCGCAAGCCUGAUCCAGCCAUACCGCGUGGGUGAAGAAGGCCUUCGGGUUGUAAAGCCCUUUUGUUGGGAAAGAAAAGCAGCAGGUUAAUACCCCGCUGUUCUGACGGUACCCAAAGAAUAAGCACCGGCUAACUUCGUG